Molecule: non-coding RNA, 96 nt
Organism: Coprinopsis cinerea okayama7#130
Lineage: Eukaryota; Fungi; Basidiomycota; Agaricomycetes; Agaricales; Psathyrellaceae
Source: Rfam
UGCCCCAUGGCUGAGUUGGUUACAGCGUCCGACUGUUACGAACACUAAGUGCUCUAGACAAUCGGAAGGUCGUGAGUUCGAGCCUCACUGGGGCAG